CUACAAUGCUCCAAAUCUCAGCCGCUUCCAUUCCAUCCACACCGCAGCUUACUGAUUUUUCCUCGAAUCAGUAAGUUUCUCAAUCCAUCUCGAUUUCCACAUGAAAUUAGUUACUGAAACUCGUCAUUUUUCUCUAAUUAGGUUUUUUCGUUCCUUUUUUCUUAUUUCUUAUACUUUUAUCCUCAUUUGGGAAUCAAUAAUUAUAUGAUUAUGAUCAAGUUUCUCUUUCUUGUUACUAGCUAUGUAGCACCGACACCUCUGAAAAACGAUUCAGACACUUACACCGAUACUUGUGAUUAUGUAUAAUUUAUUCAUUUUUUUCAAAUUAUUACUAGUGUCGGCGUUUCACUGUUUUUGAUGUCAUAUUGAGUGUCUGUGAUACAUAGGUUGCUAGCUAUUAGUCACGUUUUCAGCAUUGUUAAAUUGGAAGCAAAUUAUUUACUUGACAACAUUUACAUAAAUAUUCAAGUUUUUUUCAGUUUUACAAUGAUUAUCUAAUUUGUGAUUUUGAGUGUUAAUGCUUGUGUCAAAUUUCAAUUUAACUCUAUUUACUUCAGUUUUAGGAUCAUAUAAUGCGGUAUCGGAGCAAUGGGAAAGAUGCCACUAGACAAAAGGUUCUUCGUCGCCUCGAUCAGGUUAUUUACUUCUUCAAUCUUGCUUUUCUAGAUUAGCUUAUGCUGGUUUUCAAUAAUUAGUCUUGCUUCUCGUUUAGGGUUUAUUUUUUUAUAUCAUAGUAUUCACUUGUAUUUUUGUAAAGGGUUUCUAUCAAGUAUGAGAAUAUUGGAUGCAAGUCAUUGUGCUUCAUUGGAAACUUGCAAUAUCAAUCUACCU
Molecule: long non-coding RNA, 831 nt
Filed under: Lathyrus oleraceus (garden pea)
Lineage: Eukaryota; Viridiplantae; Streptophyta; Magnoliopsida; Fabales; Fabaceae
Description: Pisum sativum (pea) long non-coding RNA (PSAT_LNC021822)
Source: RNAcentral